GAUUGCAGGCUGCAACUCGCCUGCAUGAAGUCGGAAUUGCUAGUAAUCGCGGAUCAGCAUGCCGCGGUGAAUACGUUCCCGGGCCUUGUACACACCGCCCGUCACACCAUGAGAGCCGGUAAUACCCGAAGUCCGUAGCCUAACCUUUUAGGAGGGCGCGGCCGAAGGUAGGACUGGUAAUUAGGGUGAAGUCGUAACAAGGUACC
This 206-nucleotide ribosomal RNA is filed under the name uncultured bacterium. Its description in RNAcentral is "partial 16S ribosomal RNA". It matches the Rfam family "Bacterial small subunit ribosomal RNA", at positions 1296 to 1500 of the family's 1533-position model. The record is from RNAcentral.